Dendrobium catenatum is the source of this 579-nucleotide long non-coding RNA. RefSeq lists it as uncharacterized. The record is from RefSeq and is a predicted model, not a curated record. The transcript has 2 exons. Lineage: Eukaryota; Viridiplantae; Streptophyta; Magnoliopsida; Asparagales; Orchidaceae.
AUGGGCCUCUUAUCCAUUCCUUUUUCCAAUCAGUUUUCACGCAAGCAAACAGAGGGGAAGACUGGGAGGGAUUACGGAUAUAUAGUGGCGUGAGCAUUAGAGACGAAUAGAAGUAAAGAGCAGAUCUGAAGAAAUAUCUGGAGAAGAACUGUAUCAGAGUGUGCGUUCGAAUAUAGGAAACUGAGCAUUCGGCUUAAGCAAAGGCAACAAACAAUUUUAAGAGAUUGUUGCUUGGAACAAAUAUGUUUUGGAGUGGGCUUUGCGAUCAGAAUUGCAGUAAAGAAUUUUGGUUAAAGAAGAGGAAAAAGAGAAAUAGAAGGAAAGAAACAAAUCAAGGGAAGCGUUCGGUUCUAUGUGCUGAAGGAAAUGGGAAGCUUGACUCGUGGAUCAUGUGAGCAAAACACAAAUUAAUUGAGAGAAAAUUCUGUGAGAGUAAGGAAUAGUAAAGGAAGGACAAGAAAGAAAAUGUAAGGAAUAAGGAAGAAAGAAAGAGGUAAGUAAUUUAUUUGUAUGAUAAUAUGUAUGAUCAUCUUAUAGUUUCCAAAUAAUAGUGAAAAUCUUUAAAGAUGUUAUAUCUAA